GACGAACGCUGGCGGCGUGCCUAAUACAUGCAAGUUGAGCGAUGAAGAUUGGUGCUUGCACCAAUUUGAAGAGCAGCGAACGGGUGAGUAACGCGUGGGGAAUCUGCCUUUGAGCGGGGGACAACAUUUGGAAACGAAUGCUAAUACCGCAUAAUAACUUUAAACAUAAGUUUUAAGUUUGAAAGAUGCAAUUGCAUCACUCAAAGAUGAUCCCGCGUUGUAUUAGCUAGUUGGUGAGGUAAAGGCUCACCCAGGCGAUGAUACAUAGCCGACCUGAGAGGGUGAUCCGCCACCUUGGGAAUGAGACACCGCCCAAACCCCUACGGGAGGCAGCAGUAGGGAAUCUUCGGCAAUGGACGAAAGUCUGACCGAGCAACGCCGCGGGAGUGAAGAAGGUUUUCGGAUCGUAAAACUCUGUUGGUAGAGAAGAACGUUGGUGAGAGUGGAAAGCUCAUCAAGUGACGGUAACUACCCAGAAAGGGACGGCUAACUACGUG
Molecule: ribosomal RNA, 497 nt
Filed under: uncultured bacterium
Lineage: Bacteria
Description: partial 16S ribosomal RNA
Rfam family: Bacterial small subunit ribosomal RNA
Source: RNAcentral